AUGCCUCAAGAACUGAAUAUUCUUUACAACAUUCAGCUUUCCCAUCUGGGGAUAUACCAUCCUUACUCAAGUUUUCUUUCAAUAAGGUUUAGAGUUCUCUGCUCCAGAGCACCUUGUGGACAGCUGAGAGCUGCUACCGGGUUGAAGGAAUGGGGUGUGUGUGUGUGUGCGCACACGUGUGAUCGGCUACAACUGUGAGUAUGACAUUAACCAGUUGGUACCUGAGUUAUUCUCUCCUGUCUAUUCACUUAGCAUCCACCCCAGCACUGACUACAUUGACUGUAUCAUCUUUUAUGGUGUCCUCUAUUGGGCAGUGGGCAGACUGUCUUCAUCAUUUCAGAAGUAAUCCCUGAAUGUAAUAGCUGUUCAAUGAUGUUUGUUAAGUGAACAAGUGGAAGAAUGAGGGUUUGUGUCCUCUGUGCCCAGGCUCUGGCCUGGAGUCAGCAAAAGACACCAAGGAAGGCAGCAUAGCCUGCUCUGUGGCUGAGCCAGGCAGAACACCAAGGACAUUUAGGGAUUUUAAGUAGAAGGCAAGAUGUUUGAUUAGCAUAUUAACUGAGGGGAAGACUAUGAUUUGGGGCACCUAACUGAAGGUCAUGUAUCAAGGAGGCCUCGAGGUGCAUCCCUGGUUGUCCCUGCUGGUAGGCUUUGAGCGAGGUCACCGAGCUCCCUGACUGCUAUACAUUUCGGAAGAAUCACAGGCAGAAGCGUAGGACAGGUUUCUCUGGGCCCAUGUUUUCCCCUGGAGCCCAGCUUUCCAAGAACAGAGCAUGGUCUGUGUGACUUAACAGACACUGGUAGUUGGUGAAUCCAGAAAGACUUGCAGAAGCAGGGCAUUGUGGCAAAAGAGACACCUAUGCAUUGGGAUCAUCUUGUGCAAAAUAUCUAAAUGUGUACUUAUUUGCAAUCCUUCGAUGAAGGGUCAAAGCCUAUUCUUUGAAUGUGGGUCUGCUAAUUAGAGUUCCUUUCACUUUCCGGGCAUCAACAACACCUGUGAUGCAUCAGGUAAGCCAAGUUUGAGUUUCUUUAAAGUAGAGCAAGAACUUCAAGACCACGAAAAACAGCAUAAAUUCAGAAUUCUAGAUUUUUAUUAUUACUCUCACCACCCCUCUGCCCUGCUCCCCAAGCCCCACUCUUUGUUAAUGUACUCAGCUCCAUUUUAUUUAACAACAUUUUGAAUGCCACUCCUUAUCAAGUU
This 1198-nucleotide long non-coding RNA is filed under the name Felis catus (domestic cat). RNAcentral describes it as "lncRNA (ENSFCAG00000047339.1)". The record is from RNAcentral. Lineage: Eukaryota; Metazoa; Chordata; Mammalia; Carnivora; Felidae.